UGGGAUAACUCCGGGAAACCGGGGCUAAUACCGGAUGCUUGAUUGAACCGCAUGGUUCAAUUAUAAAAGGUGGCUUUUAGCUACCACUUACAGAUGGACCCGCGGCGCAUUAGCUAGUUGGUGAGGUAACGGCUCACCAAGGCGACGAUGCGUAGCCGACCUGAGAGGGUGAUCGGCCACACUGGGACUGAGACACGGCCCAGACUCCUACGGGAGGCAGCAGUAGGGAAUCUUCCGCAAUGGACGAAAGUCUGACGGAGCAACGCCGCGUGAGUGAUGAAGGUUUUCGGAUCGUAAAACUCUGUUGUUAGGGAAGAACAAGUACCGUUCGAAUAGGGCGGUACCUUGACGGUACCUAACCAGAAAGCCACGGCUAACUACGUGCCAGCAGCCGCGGUAAUACGUAGGUGGCAAGCGUUGUCCGGAAUUAUUGGGCGUAAAGCGCGCGCAGGCGGUUUCUUAAGUCUGAUGUGAAAGCCCCCGGCUCAACCGGGGAGGGUCAUUGGAAACUGGGGAACUUGAGUGCAGAAGAGGAGAGUGGAAUUCCACGUGUAGCGGUGAAAUGCGUAGACAUGUGGAGGAACACCAGUGGCGAAGGCGACUCUCUGGUCUGUAACUGAC
RNAcentral lists this ribosomal RNA (621 nucleotides) under Salmonella enterica subsp. enterica serovar Typhimurium. RNAcentral describes it as "bacterial SSU rRNA". It matches the Rfam family "Bacterial small subunit ribosomal RNA", at positions 139 to 744 of the family's 1533-position model. The record is from RNAcentral. Lineage: Bacteria; Pseudomonadati; Pseudomonadota; Gammaproteobacteria; Enterobacterales; Enterobacteriaceae.